RNAcentral lists this transfer RNA (73 nucleotides) under Ovis aries (sheep). It matches the Rfam family "tRNA". From Rfam's summary of the family: Transfer RNA (tRNA) molecules are approximately 80 nucleotides in length. Lineage: Eukaryota; Metazoa; Chordata; Mammalia; Artiodactyla; Bovidae. The record is from Rfam by way of RNAcentral.
UUCCUGAUGGUCCAAUCGCUAAGACUCUGAGCUCCCAAUGCAAGGGGCCCAGGUUCAAUCCCUGGUCAGGGAA